GCCUAACACAUGCAAGUCGAGCGGUAGCACAGAAGAGCUUGCUCUUUGGGUGACGAGCGGCGGACGGGUGAGUAAUGUCUGGGAAACUGCCUGAUGGAGGGGGAUAACUACUGGAAACGGUAGCUAAUACCGCAUAACGUCGCAAGACCAAAGUGGGGGACCUUCGGGCCUCAUGCCAUCAGAUGUGCCCAGAUGGGAUUAGCUAGUAGGUGAGGUAAUGGCUCACCUAGGCGACGAUCCCUAGCUGGUCUGAGAGGAUGACCAGCCACACUGGAACUGAGACACGGUCCAGACUCCUACGGGAGGCAGCAGUGGGGAAUAUUGCACAAUGGGCGCAAGCCUGAUGCAGCCAUGCCGCGUGUAUGAAGAAGGCCUUCGGGUUGUAAAGUACUUUCAGCGAGGAGGAAGGCAUUAAGGUUAAUAACCUUAGUGAUUGACGUUACUCGCAGAAGAAGCACCGGCUAACUCCGUGCCAGCAGCCG
RNAcentral lists this ribosomal RNA (482 nucleotides) under uncultured bacterium. RNAcentral describes it as "bacterial SSU rRNA". It matches the Rfam family "Bacterial small subunit ribosomal RNA", at positions 46 to 517 of the family's 1533-position model. The record is from RNAcentral.